GUGCUCCCUUGGGCAGCGCCUAUACUAAAAUAGUAACGAUACGGAGAAAAUUAGUAUGGCCCCUGCACAAAGACACACAAAGCAUGGCUCCUGAAUUCAAAUUGCUU
Molecule: small nuclear RNA, 107 nt
Organism: Zalophus californianus (California sea lion)
Lineage: Eukaryota; Metazoa; Chordata; Mammalia; Carnivora; Otariidae
Source: Ensembl